This 416-nucleotide long non-coding RNA is filed under the name Helianthus annuus (common sunflower). RNAcentral describes it as "hypothetical non coding rna". The record is from RNAcentral. Lineage: Eukaryota; Viridiplantae; Streptophyta; Magnoliopsida; Asterales; Asteraceae.
GUAGUUGUUUAAUUUCCUUCUUUUGUAUGAAUAGGGCGACGAAGACGAAGAUGACGAGUCACCUGACUCGAUGCUCACACGAGUCUUAAAGCAGAAGGCGAUCGACUUACUUUGCUUAGACCAUCACACCAUGAUUCGGCUUGAUCGGCAUUUACAAGCGAGAAACUAGAAAGAUCACUUGCUGCACAUAGUAUGGUUGCAGCAGCAAUACAUGAUGGCCAAUACUCAAGUAAACUAGCUUCUGCAAAAGUCAAACUUUUUGGUCAACUUCUUUUAUAAUUUGAAUUUAGAAGCGCAUGCAAUGCAAGAGUACUAAUACUAUAUUUUUAUUUUGUGAUUAUUUAAGCCUGUAUAAGAAGCAUUUGAUUUGUUAGUACCAACCAAACACCUACAUGCAUGCGGAACAUAAACUCUUU